GCGGAGGGCCGGAUGACCGCGGGCCUUCGGGUUCGAGGAAAGUCCGGACUCCACAAGGCAACGGUGCCGGGUAACGCCCGGGCGGAGCAAUCCGACGGAAAGCGCCACAGAAAAGAAACUGCCCUCGCAUGCGGGGGUGAGGGUGAAACGGUGGGGUAAGAGCCCACCGCGCCGCUGGCAACAGGGGUGGCACGGCAAGCCCCACCGGGAGCAAUGCCAAAUAGGAACCGCGUGGAGGCUUGCCUCCGGGGAUGCUUUGUCCCCAGCAGGUUCGGGUUGGCAGCUAGAGGGUCGCGGGUAACCGUGGCCAAAGAUGAAUGGUCAUCCAGAGGGGGCAACCCCUUGGACAGAAUCCGGCUUACAGGCCCUCCGCGCAU
This 377-nucleotide RNase P RNA is filed under the name Litoreibacter halocynthiae. RNAcentral's name for it is "Bacterial RNase P class A". It matches the Rfam family "Bacterial RNase P class A". Rfam says of the family: Ribonuclease P (RNase P) is a ubiquitous endoribonuclease, found in archaea, bacteria and eukarya as well as chloroplasts and mitochondria. Lineage: Bacteria; Pseudomonadati; Pseudomonadota; Alphaproteobacteria; Rhodobacterales; Roseobacteraceae. The record is from RNAcentral.